This 403-nucleotide ribosomal RNA is filed under the name uncultured bacterium. RNAcentral describes it as "bacterial SSU rRNA". It matches the Rfam family "Bacterial small subunit ribosomal RNA", at positions 29 to 429 of the family's 1533-position model. The record is from RNAcentral.
AGUGAACGCUGGCGGUAGGCCUAACACAUGCAAGUCGAACGGCAGCACAGAGGAGCUUGCUCCUUGGGUGGCGAGUGGCGGACGGGUGAGGAAUACAUCGGAAUCUACUCUGUCGUGGGGGAUAACGUAGGGAAACUUACGCUAAUACCGCAUACGACCUACGGGUGAAAGCAGGGGAUCUUCGGACCUUGCGCGAUUGAAUGAGCCGAUGUCGGAUUAGCUAGUUGGCGGGGUAAAGGCCCACCAAGGCGACGAUCCGUAGCUGGUCUGAGAGGAUGAUCAGCCACACUGGAACUGAGACACGGUCCAGACUCCUACGGGAGGCAGCAGUGGGGAAUAUUGGACAAUGGGCGCAAGCCUGAUCCAGCCAUACCGCGUGGGUGAAGAAGGCCUCGGUUGUAAG